Molecule: long non-coding RNA, 1368 nt
Organism: Cavia porcellus (domestic guinea pig)
Lineage: Eukaryota; Metazoa; Chordata; Mammalia; Rodentia; Caviidae
Exons: 2
Source: RefSeq, a predicted model, not a curated record
UCUUGCACGAGCGUCCAUCCUCCUUACCUGGGGAGAGGGGGCACAGGGCAGGAGAGGCAGCUGUCGCCCAGACGUGCUUCCUGGGGCAGCAGGAUGGGCCAGCCUGGGGCAGUUAGCGUCAUGCUGGAGGGUCCCUCUUCCAGGUUAGCACUCAUGCAUCGCUGCCUCUCCCUGCCAGGGGGAAGGUCUUUUCCCCAGUGCUCUGGACUGAGGUGGAGUUGGUGAGCAGAGACAGCAUGUGAGUGCCUGAGACGACGAAACCACAGAAGAUGCCUGCAAUGGCUGCCCAGAGACUCUGUGCUAGGGAACAGAGUACCCACUGUCUAGACUUGCCUGGACAGCUUGGAGCAAGCUAGAGGGCCCUCCUUAUUUCUGGAGAAGCUAGCAUCCACCAGGCCAACUCUCCUGACCCUGCUGUGCCCCGGCCUGCGCUGUCCUUACCGCUUCGCAGUGGACAUCACACAACACCGAGGUGGUGUUGAUCUGGUAGAAACUGGUGAGGGGGUCCAGCACGUCUGUGCAGCGGGAGGUGUGGCACACGCCAUCUGCCGAGAGCUCCACCACCGUCUGGCCUGGCUGCAGCACCCCCAGCUCACGGCUCAGACACACGGGGGCUUUCACUGGAGACGAGCAGGACAAUGCAGUCACCAUGAGCCCAGUGACCCCACCGCCCAUGUCUAGCUGGCCCACUGGAGACUCACACACCCUGGCUCUGUUCCCCUGGGACCCCCCCUCCCUGCCCACUCACCGCACUGGUACUUGGCGCAGCCACACAUGUUCUCCUCGCUGUUCAUGAAGUCCUCAUCCAGCUGGGACUUCUCCCACUGGGUGGGCAGAGGCAGUCAGCACUGGGGUGGGGGUCCCAGCCCCCGAUAGGGAGCAGCCUGCAGCUGGGUCCCUUUCUGAGUCAUGCUCCCCACACCCAAGCCUCCCUUCUGGGGAUAUUCUCCAUGUCCUCCCUCCCUCAGAGAGGGACCCCGACAGUUCCUGUCUUUCUUCGCCAGUUUCAGAAACAAGAGGAUGAAGAAGAAAACAAAACGAAAGGAAGUGGUGCUGGGAUCCAGCAAGAGUGCAUGUGGACCCGGAAAGUGACCUGAUAUCACCUAUGUUUCUUAUUCUCCCUUUCCCCUGGGGCUGUGUAACGAGGGUUAGAACAUGGUGUCUGGGGUCAGAACCCCUGAUCAAACCCUGGUUCUGUGCCUUUCUAGUUUCAUGAACUUAACUCUAGCUUUCUUGUUUGUGUGACUGCUACAAGCACACAACUGAUCUCUCAGGGUGGCUGUGAAAAUGAACAUGGUAAACAAUGCAAAAGGUCUGGGGAGGUUCUGUUCACAUAGAAAAACCUCAAUAAACAUGAGCUCCUGCCUA